This 509-nucleotide ribosomal RNA is filed under the name uncultured Flectobacillus sp. Its description in RNAcentral is "bacterial SSU rRNA". It matches the Rfam family "Bacterial small subunit ribosomal RNA", at positions 8 to 527 of the family's 1533-position model. Lineage: Bacteria; Pseudomonadati; Bacteroidota; Cytophagia; Cytophagales; Flectobacillaceae. The record is from RNAcentral.
AGGGUUUGAUCCUGGCUCAGGAUGAACGCUAGCGGCAGGCCUAAUACAUGCAAGUCGAACGGUAUCUUCGGACAUAGUGGCGCACGGGUGCGUAACACGUAUACAACCUACCUUACAUUGGGGGAUAGCCUUUCGAAAGGGAGAUUAAUACCGCAUAAGACAGUAGCUGGGCAUCCAGCAGCUGUUAAAGAUUUAUCGAUGUAAGAUGGGCAUGCGUCCAAUUAGUUAGUUGGCGAGGUAAUGGCUCACCAAGACUUUGAUUGGUAGGGGAACUGAGAGGUCAAUCCCCCACACUGGCACUGAGAUACGGGCCAGACUCCUACGGGAGGCAGCAGUAGGGAAUAUUGGGCAAUGGACGCAAGUCUGACCCAGCCAUGCCGCGUGCAGGAUGAAGGCGUUAUGCGUUGUAAACUGCUUUUAUACAGGAAGAAACGACUCUUGCGAGAGGCAUUGACGGUACUGUAUGAAUAAGCACCGGCUAACUCCGUGCCAGCAGCCGCGGUAAUUCA